GAGGAUUUCCAAACCGAAGUGGUUCGUCUGAAAAAGUUGGAAUUUACAGAAUAGGUGACGGGUAACAGGUCUGUGGACGAAACAAACAUCCUCACCUUCAAACUGGUAAAGUUCAACUUCUACUACUAACAGUCCAGACAUGCUUGAAACUUUUUAUUUCUCAAGACCCCAUCAGCAGUGCGAUAGAAGAACGUCUGUUAUCCAAAUGCAAUCAGGGAACCAGUUCAGGUAAGACAAACUUGUUGUGACCUUGAACUUGAAGAUGCAGAGCUUUUCUGAAUGAAAACUUGACAGUACGGCGGUAGCCUGUUGUUGAAAUUAUUUCAAUAUGGUCCUAUAUGGUAAACAUUUAGUUAAAACAAGUGUGAGAGUAUAAUUUACGUUUAAAGAGCUAGGUUUUUUGUUUUGUUUCUUUUUUUUGGGGGGGGGGGGGAUAAGGGUAGGUCACUACAGUGCAGUGUAGUGGUAAGAGUGGUGUUUUUUUUGCACGGAAUAAAAAUGAAAUAAGACAUAUGUUUAUGUUGAACGUUUUCUGUCAUGAACGUUGCACGAAAAAUAAAUGCUUUGGUUUGAACCUUUUUCUGACUGAGAAAUUGCUGCCUCCUUGUAUGGGGGUCUCAUUGGGGGGUUCCGAUCCCGGAUCCCGCUUACUGUUUUGUCAGAUUCCCGUAUCCCGCUUACACUAUGUACAUAAGCAAUUCUCAUUUUUUUGUCAUUUCCCGGGUCCCGUAAGACCUAAUUUCCCGUUUUCACGCCACAAUAAUUUGACUUUCACGUGUCAUGCUUACAAAAAAUCGGCAAUCUCGC
This 807-nucleotide long non-coding RNA is filed under the name Mytilus galloprovincialis (Mediterranean mussel). The record is from RNAcentral. Lineage: Eukaryota; Metazoa; Mollusca; Bivalvia; Mytilida; Mytilidae.